RNAcentral lists this ribosomal RNA (497 nucleotides) under uncultured bacterium. Its description in RNAcentral is "partial 16S ribosomal RNA". It matches the Rfam family "Bacterial small subunit ribosomal RNA", at positions 28 to 507 of the family's 1533-position model. The record is from RNAcentral.
GAUGAACGCUGGCGGCGUGCCUAAUACAUGCAAGUCGAGCGAACGGACGAGAAGCUUGCUUCUCUGAUGUUAGCGGCGGACGGGCGAGUAACACGUGGAUAACCUACCUAUAAGACUGGGAUAACUUCGGGAAACCGGAGCUAAUACCGGAUCAUAUUUUGAACCGCAUGGUUCAAAAGUGAAAGACGGUCUUGCCGUCACUUAUAGAUGGAUCCGCGCUGCAUUAGCUAGUUGGUAAGGUAACGGCUUACCAAGGCAACGAUGCAUAGCCGACCUGAGAGGAUGAUCGGCCACACUGGAACUGAGACACGGUCCAGACUCCUACGGGAGGCAGCAGUAGGGAAUCUUCCGCAAUGGGCGAAAGCCUGACGGAGCAACGCCGCGUGAGUGAUGAAGGUCUUCGGAUCGUAAAACUCUGUUAUUAGGGAAGAACAUAUGUGUAAGUAACUGUGCACAUCUUGACGGUACCUAAUCAGAAAGCCACGGCUAACUACGUG